GACGAACGCUGGCGGCGUGCUUAACACAUGCAAGUCGAACGGUGAACCUCUUCGGGGGGGCUCAGUGGCGAACGGGUGAGUAACACGUGGGCAACCUGCCCCCGGCUCUGGGAUAACUCCAAGAAAUUGGGGCUAAUACCGGAUGUUCACCGCUUCCCGCAUGGGUGGUGGUGGAAAGGGUUUCCGGCUGGGGAUGGGCCCGCGGCCUAUCAGCUUGUUGGUGGGGUAGUGGCCUACCAAGGCGACGACGGGUAGCCGGCCUGAGAGGGUGACCGGCCACACUGGGACUGAGACACGGCCCAGACUCCUACGGGAGGCAGCAGUGGGGAAUAUUGCGCAAUGGGCGGAAGCCUGACGCAGCGACGCCGCGUGGGGGAUGACGGCCUUCGGGUUGUAAACCUCUUUCAGCAGGGACGAAGCGCAAGUGACGGUACCUGCAGAAGAAGCACCGGCCAACUACGUG
RNAcentral lists this ribosomal RNA (463 nucleotides) under uncultured bacterium. Its description in RNAcentral is "partial 16S ribosomal RNA". It matches the Rfam family "Bacterial small subunit ribosomal RNA", at positions 28 to 507 of the family's 1533-position model. The record is from RNAcentral.